UAGAGUUUGAUCCUGGCUCAGAUUGAACGCUGGCGGCAUGCCUAACACAUGCAAGUCGAACGGCAGCACAGGUAGCAAUACCGGGUGGCGAGUGGCGGACGGGUGAGGAAUACAUCGGGACCUGCCCAGACGUGGGGGAUAACGUAGGGAAACUUACGCUAAUACCGCAUACGUCCUACGGGAGAAAGCGGGGGAUCUUCGGACCUCGCGCGGUUGGAUGGACCGAUGUUCGAUUAGCUAGUUGGUGAGGUAAUGGCUCACCAAGGCGACGAUCGAUAGCUGGUCUGAGAGGAUGAUCAGCCACACUGGGACUGAGACACGGCCCAGACUCCUACGGGAGGCAGCAGUGGGGAAUAUUGGACAAUGGGCGCAAGCCUGAUCCAGCAAUGCCGCGUGUGUGAAGAAGGCCUUCGGGUUGUAAAGCACUUUUAUCAGGAGCGAAAUACUACGGGUUAAUACCUCGUGGGGCUGACGGUACCUGAGGAAUAAGCACCGGCUAACUUCGUGCCAGCAGCCGCGGUAAUACGAAGGGUGCAAGCGUUAAUCGGAAUUACUGGGCGUAAAGCGUGCGUAGGCGGUUUUUUAAGUCUGCUGUGAAAUCCCCGGGCUCAACCUGGGAAUGGCAGUGGAUACUGGAAAGCUAGAGUGUGAGAGAGGAUGGUGGAAUUCCCGGUGUAGCGGUGAAAUGCGUAGAGAUCGGGAGGAACAUCAGUGGCGAAGGCGGCCA
RNAcentral lists this ribosomal RNA (727 nucleotides) under bacterium enrichment culture clone PF-2_44. Its description in RNAcentral is "bacterial SSU rRNA". It matches the Rfam family "Bacterial small subunit ribosomal RNA", at positions 1 to 727 of the family's 1533-position model. The record is from RNAcentral.